AGAGUUUGAUCCUGGCUCAGGACGAACGCUGGCGGCGUGCCUAACACAUGCAAGUCGAACGGAGAUUUUAGUAAUGAAAUCUUAGUGGCGAACGGGUGAGUAACGCGUAGACAACCUACCUUCGAGAUGGGGACAACACUGCGAAAGUGGUGCUAAUACCGAAUGUUGUAUCUUGGUUGCAUAACUAAGAUACUAAAGAUGGCCUCUAUUUAUAAGCUAUCGCUAGAAGAUGGGUCUGCGUCUGAUUAGCUAGUUGGUGAGGUAAUGGCUCACCAAGGCGACGAUCAGUAGCCGGUCUGAGAGGAUGGACGGCCACACUGGGACUGAGACACGGCCCAGACUCCUACGGGAGGCAGCAGUGGGGAAUCUUCCGCAAUGGACGAAAGUCUGACGGAGCAACGCCGCGUGAGUGAAGAAGGUUUUCGGAUCGUAAAACUCUGUUUUCAGGGACGAAUGUGCAGCUUGUAAAUAAUGAGUUGUAA
RNAcentral lists this ribosomal RNA (482 nucleotides) under uncultured bacterium. RNAcentral describes it as "bacterial SSU rRNA". It matches the Rfam family "Bacterial small subunit ribosomal RNA", at positions 8 to 477 of the family's 1533-position model. The record is from RNAcentral.